Molecule: long non-coding RNA, 283 nt
Organism: Haliotis rubra (blacklip abalone)
Lineage: Eukaryota; Metazoa; Mollusca; Gastropoda; Lepetellida; Haliotidae
Exons: 2
Source: RefSeq, a predicted model, not a curated record
CCCCUGGCCUCCAUGACGUAUCACUGAGCAAGUAUAGUAUGGAGGCAUACUACAAUGAAUUCAUUGACAGCAGUGGCCCCAUAGGUGAUGAUGAACCAAUACACAAAAUCUAUCGACAUCUGGCCUACAGAAGAUUUACAUACUGGAUUUGGCAGAAAUUGGGAAAAAAUCAUCGCAAGGUGAUUCCUUCUUGUGUUGUCCAUGUUAUACGUGCAACAUUUCCAUCAGAUGUAUAUACUGGAUUUCUUUAUUCUCACUAGAAUAAAUAUUGUUUUAAUGGAAA